AAACUUAAAUGAAUUGACGGGGACCCGCACAAGCGGUGGAUGAUGUGGAUUAAUUCGAUGCAACGCGAAAACCUUACCUACCCUUGACAUGUCCGGAAUCCCGAAGAGAUUUGGGAGUGCUCGAAAGAGAGCCGGAACACAGGUGCUGCAUGGCUGUCGUCAGCUCGUGUCGUGAGAUGUUGGGUUAAGUCCCGCAACGAGCGCAACCCUUAUCAUUAGUUGCCAUCAUUCAGUUGGGCACUCUAAUGAGACUGCCGGUGACAAACCGGAGGAAGGUGGGGAUGACGUCAAGUCCUCAUGGCCCUUAUGGGUAGGGCUUCACACGUCAUACAAUGGUCGGUACAGAGGGUUGCCAACCCGCGAGGGGGAGCUAAUCUCACAAAGCCGAUCGUAGUCCGGAUCGCAGUCUGCAACUCGACUGCGUGAAGUCGGAAUCGCUAGUAAUCGUGGAUCAGCAUGUCACGGUGAAUACGUUCCCGGGUCUUGUACACACCGCCCGUCACACCAUGGGAGUGGGUUUCACCAGAAGUAGGUAGUCUAACCGCAAGGAGGGCGCUUACCACGGUGGGGUUCAUGACUGGGGUGAAGUCGUAACAAGGUAGCCGUAGGGGAACCUGCGGCUGGAUCACCUCCUUUAUG
Molecule: ribosomal RNA, 639 nt
Filed under: uncultured Rhodocyclaceae bacterium
Lineage: Bacteria; Pseudomonadati; Pseudomonadota; Betaproteobacteria; Rhodocyclales; Rhodocyclaceae
Description: bacterial SSU rRNA
Rfam family: Bacterial small subunit ribosomal RNA
Source: RNAcentral